GCGGGAGUAGCUCAGCGGUAGAGUCCCUGCCUUCCAAGCAGGCUGUCGCCGGUUCGAAUCCGGUCUCCCGCUCCA
RNAcentral lists this transfer RNA (75 nucleotides) under Chloroflexota bacterium. RNAcentral describes it as "Chloroflexi bacterium tRNA-Gly". It matches the Rfam family "tRNA". From Rfam's summary of the family: Transfer RNA (tRNA) molecules are approximately 80 nucleotides in length. Their secondary structure includes four short double-helical elements and three loops (D, anti-codon, and T loops). Further hydrogen bonds mediate the characteristic L-shaped molecular structure. tRNAs have two regions of fundamental functional importance: the anti-codon, which is responsible for specific mRNA codon recognition, and the 3' end, to which the tRNAs corresponding amino acid is attached (by aminoacyl-tRNA synthetases). tRNAs cope with the degeneracy of the genetic code in two manners: having more than one tRNA (with a specific anti-codon) for a particular amino acid; and 'wobble' base-pairing, i.e. permitting non-standard base-pairing at the 3rd anti-codon position. The record is from RNAcentral. RNAcentral also lists the same sequence under 2 other names. Lineage: Bacteria; Bacillati; Chloroflexota.